Molecule: non-coding RNA, 80 nt
Filed under: Mycetohabitans rhizoxinica HKI 454
Lineage: Bacteria; Pseudomonadati; Pseudomonadota; Betaproteobacteria; Burkholderiales; Burkholderiaceae
Description: Burkholderia rhizoxinica HKI 454 Burkholderia sRNA 16 (Bc_KC_sr1)
Rfam family: Burkholderia sRNA 16 (Bc_KC_sr1)
About the family: Identified by RNA-seq, RACE and Northern blot. Strongly expressed in biofilm.
Source: Rfam by way of RNAcentral
GUGCGUGGCGGCGAUACCGUUACGUCACCAUUCUCCUCUUGUCGUUGUUGCUCCGGGGCUCGAAGCCCCGGUUUUUUUUA